UUAUUUUAGCGGCGGACGGGUGAGUAACGUGUGGGUAACCUGCCUUUUACUGGGGGAAUAAUCACUGGAAACGGUGACUAAUACCGCAUACGGGUUCUUGGAAGGCAUCUUCUAGGAAAGAAAGGAUUUAUUCGGUAAAAGAUGGGCCCGCAUCUGAUUAGCUAGUUGGUGAGAUAACAGCCCACCAAGGCGACGAUCAGUAGCCGACCUGAGAGGGUGACCGGCCACAUUGGGACUGAGACACGGCCCAAACUCCUACGGGAGGCAGCAG
Molecule: ribosomal RNA, 271 nt
Filed under: uncultured bacterium
Lineage: Bacteria
Description: partial 16S ribosomal RNA
Rfam family: Bacterial small subunit ribosomal RNA
Source: RNAcentral